GACGAACGCUGGCGGCGUGCCUAAUACAUGCAAGUCGAGCGGACCAAACAGGAGCUUGCUCUUGUUUGGUUAGCGGCGGACGGGUGAGUAACACGUGGGUAACCUGCCCGUAAGACCGGGAUAACUCCGGGAAACCGGAGCUAAUACCGGAUAACAACGAAGACCGCAUGGUCUUUGGUUGAAAGGCGGCUUCGGCUGCCACUUACGGAUGGGCCCGCGGCGCAUUAGCUAGUUGGUGAGGUAACGGCUCACCAAGGCGACGAUGCGUAGCCGGGCUGAGAGGGUGACCGGCCACACUGGGACUGAGACGCGGCCCAGACUCCUACGGGAGGCAGCAGUAGGGAAGCGUCCGCGAUGGACGAAAGUCUGACGGAGCGACGCCGCGUGAGCGAAGAAGGUCUUCGGAUCGUAAAGCUCUGUUGUUAGGGAAGAAGAAGCGCCGUUCGAACAGGGCGGCGCGGUGACGGUACCUAACGAGAAAGCCCCGGCUAACUACGUG
This 499-nucleotide ribosomal RNA is filed under the name uncultured bacterium. RNAcentral describes it as "partial 16S ribosomal RNA". It matches the Rfam family "Bacterial small subunit ribosomal RNA", at positions 28 to 507 of the family's 1533-position model. The record is from RNAcentral.